UUUCAUUAAUUAGAAGGGAUUGCUAAUGAGAACCAAGGAUUUCUGAAGACGCCAAUUCCACUCGCUCCUGCUAUCUGAAGACUGAAAGAGAAGCGCGAACUCGGUUUUGAGAGGGAAGGUUUCGGCAGUUCGUGCGGAUGAGACAGGUAGAGAGGUGUGGGUUUCAAAAUGGCACCGGAGUCGGUGAGUACCAGGGACCUGCUUGCUACUAAAAAGUAAUUACAGGUACCAAGCUUGGGUCUCCAAGAGGUGGGUGACAGUAGGAAGCUACACAGGUUCUAAAAAGGCAUUGUUGGGAUUCUUUCUCAGACACAGAAAACUACAAAAGAUUCCUUCUCCUUUUCUGUGCCCUGGGGUGGGGGUAUUUCCAGAAGCCCUUCGCUAAGCAUUUUUAUGAUAGAGGUUUUGCCUCUCUGGGAAUGAGUCAAGGGUUAUGAGGGAGCCUAAACUGUCUCUGCUCCGGCAGCUUGGACUUCUCCAUUUCUUCAUCCACUUCCCUUUUACUGGGGAAGAAGGAGAUGGGGGUAGGCAGGGCAAGGUGACCCCUCUGGUUUCCCAGUUAAUGCUCAGCUUGGGCUUGUGCGGCUGCCUUCCUGCCCUUCGAAUGGGGGCCCUGGACCUGUUUGAGCACGCGUGAGAUGUCACCUCUCGGGUAACACAGCCCCUCCUGCCCCAUGUUCACUUGCAGGGAGCCCACUGCAUUGUUGAAACCCAGAAAAGAUCUUGCAGGGUGCAUUCCUGGCCUCUUCUGCUAGCAGCUGCAGUUACCCCAGACACCAGUUCUGUCGGUUGUUUGAUUCCAUUUCCCCUCCCUCAGCUGUUGUCAGAAUUUCUCGAACUCUCUUUCCUCUUCACAUAAUCGACAAAGGAAUGCCACAGCCCGACUCUUGCUGCCUCCUUUGCCUUAGGAAAGGUUACAGAAGUCAUCUCGCCAGAGGAGAUGGGAGAGUGGCGUCUGGAAACAUCUGGAGUUUCCUCCUUUGGUAACAGGCUAGCAGGCAGCUGUUGUUUGUAGCUGUUGCUGGAGAAAGAGCAGGUGGGUGGUUAGAGAGGGAAGCCACUGGCUGUGGGAACAGAGUUCACAGUAAUGGGCUUGGCUGGCCCACCCGACAGGAACAUCGGAAGGGAAGGGUGCUAAGGAGAAAAUGAAAGGCAAAGAAAAGAAUGGUCUUAAAAGUGGUGGACUCCUCGUGUCAAUCAUCCUUUGCGGACCGCCUCUGUAAACUGGACAAAUGACAGUCACUAGCGGUUAGAGUUGUGGGAAGACCAAGUUCUUGGGACCAAGCUUUACUACGGCAAUCACUUUAUCCUGCUCGCAUUUCAAAUGGGAAGUUGAGAAGAAAAGAAAAUAAUAAACGUUUUAGUGUUUGCCAUUAACAAAAACCUCAGGGGAUUUGCAAUCACUUCUCUUAUAAAGAGACAUUUAUAUAUUUCGUUGUAUAUUUCUACAUAACUAAUACAUGACUAUAUCACUUCUCUAACAAAUUACCAAUAAAAAUGAGAUAUGUUGUUAUUUUAUAGCCAAAUAAAAAUAAGUCCAAUUCUGGAGACGUAACUCAGUUGGCAGAGCACCUGCCAAGCAUGCACCAAGCUGUGGGUCAGUCUCCAGCAUGACAUAAACCAGGCAUGGAAUGACAUGCCUGAAUUCUCAGCAUUUGGGAGGUAGAGGAAAGAAGAUCAGGGAUUGCAGGGCCUCCACAGUGAGUUUGAGGCCAGCCUGGGUUGUAAAGCAGAGUGGUCCUUGAGUCUUAGAAGACGGUAUUUGCUCAAUAAACCAGGCUCGCACUGCUUUGGUUGCGUCCUCGGUACUUGAAUUCAGUUCCCGAACCGAAAACUCCAAUAACGAUGUUUACAUCUCAGACAGUUGAAUCUACUUAGUAUUAACUUCCAGAUGUCAGGGAUAAUUGCUGCUUCAGGGAAGGAAACAUUUAUAAGUAGAUUAGCAUAUGCUGGGCACAAUAACCACUGAGGUGGGAGUUUUCAAUUCCAAUUAAAGUGACGAAGACAUGGUGAGGCAGAAAAAAAGAUUGCUUUCAAAGGCACUGGUCACUUCAGCUGCAGGGUGCAUUCUGCCCUCAGGGCCCUCCAGGGAAAGGCAAGCAAAGAGCCCACCUGGCAACUGCCUUGCCUCUCUCAUCUACCAGGUCAUGGCACCCUGUGAGACAAGUACCAACAAGGUGGCCCCUGUCCAAGGCCAUGCCCCACAGAACCAGGAAGCAGCGUGAGCAGACGCUUUGUUUUCUUUUGCUUUCCAGUGUGGGCCUGGGCCCAAACUGUGUGUAUUUCCAGUGAUGGAGAAACAGCCAUUGGAAGUCUGAGCUCAUGAAAAUGAGUACUGCAAUUCUGAAUUUAUGUAGUUUGGGGCGGAGCGCUAGUCCGAAGGAAAAAGAGGAGGAGCCUUACAACAGGGAUUGCAGCAAGGCUCUCGGUUAUUUGCUUGUUCAAACCCCACUCCUUUUGUCUGGUUCAGGGCCUCCUACCAUCUGUCCCACCUGCCUGCGGCCCACACUCCCCUGGGGUUCCUACAAUUGCCACCUUUCCUUUAAACUCUGCCUUACAGCUAACCCCCGACUCCCUUGUACCCAUGAGAAUAUAAAUCCCCUUGCACAGCCCCGGGUCCCUUGGUAAAAAGAAGAAAAGACAAAGGAGGGAAAGGAUCUUCAAAAUCUCGUCCUAGCUCGAUUUUGUAGCUCCCGGAAGCCUUUUAGAGCAGGACUCAGUUCUCACCCUUCGCAGCGGGUACGGACUUCCUCGUUUUACUACAAAAGAAACCGAGGCUCAUAGAGUUUUAGCAAUUUUCUCUGAAUCAAACAACCAGUUUGAAGUCUAUGUCCUUCCCUUGCGGCCCACUCCUGUCACGGGGUUCACUGAAAGGGAUCUUUCUCCAGCGUUUUCCGCUAUUCUUACCCACAGCAGCUCCACGUUGUGGCUCCAGGAAGAUGGAACAAAGGGCUCCCCCUGCCAGCGUGAGAGAAAUCAGUGGAGGAAAACCGGCAAGCACAGACAGAACCAAGAAGCCCCAGUGUGUGUGCAGCCCUGCCCUCUGUAUUGAUCUGAUUGAGUUUCUGUGCCUGCUUCAUUCUGCAGCUUGAGUUCGCCUCUACAACAUCCCCUCCAAGUGGUUAUUCAGCCUCUAAAUAGCCAGGGGAACCGGCACAGAAGUGCAGAAGCUUUGAGUCUUGUCCAGAGCAAUGAGUCGUUUAGUUUGGCAAGGAACCUGCAUAGGAGGCAAGACAGUGGCAGGAAAUGUUGAGAGGCAGGUAGGGACCAGGCUGAAGAAUAAUAAUAACUGGAAGUAUGGCAGCAGUAAUAAUAAUAAUAUGAUAUAAUUAUAUGAUAAAUAGGUGUCAUAUAAUAAUACAUGCAUACACGAUGUAUAAUUUAUAAAUAUAUACAAAGGUCAUAAUGAUAUAAUAACAAUAAGAGCAGCAGAAAGAGCCAGCAUUUUCUGAGUGUCUACUUUCUCUUGGGAGCUCUCCCUGCAGUAUCCCACAAGACCUCCUUAGAGGCCCAUUAUGUCCCUUACGUUGUAGAUAAAGGCGUUGUAGAGAAAUUAAGUAAUCUACUAGCAAAACCCAGUGAUGUGGUUGAGAUUCAAUGGAGCUAUCUUAGAAAUGGACUCAUUUAUAUGCUACAUUUUUCUAGCAUUCUAAGGUCUUCAGGCUGCCUUUGUAGACUAGCUAGGAAUAAAGCUAUAUCCUAUCUCAAUAAAGCCUUCUACUUAAUAUACUUAAGGCUUUGGUAGAGGGCUCAGUGGUAGCUCAUCAUUAGGGCGUAUGCGUAGCAUGUACAAAACUCUGGGUUUAGUCCUCAGCACCCCAAAACAAAAACAAAAAUAGCACACUUUAAAAUAUAAGAACUUGGGCUGGAGAGAUGGCUCAGCAGUUAAGAGCACCGGUUGUUCUUCCAGAAAACCAGAUUUAAGUCUCAUCAGCCUCAUGUUGAUUCGGAACUAUCUGUAACUCCAGUCCCAGGGGAUCUGACACCCCCUUCUAGAUUCUGGCUUCUGUGGGUACCAGACUCUGAUACCCCCUUCUAGAUUCUGGCUUCUGUGGGUACCAGACAUAUAUAUGGUGCCCAGACAUACUUGAAAUUUAAAUAAUUAAAUGGUAGCUACUCUGUGAGCUGACAGUGGUGUCAUAAGCCAGUGAUUCCAGCCAUUGGGAAUGGAGAGAAGAAGAUCGUACAUUCAAGGCAGUGCUCAGCUAUGGGUGUCAAAACUUUGCUUUGCCUUUUAGUUGUUGUUGUUGUUUUUCUCAUGGUGCUGUGGUUCAAACCCAGGGCCUGACACAUGCUAGGUAAGCACUCUACCACUAAACUUCACCCUCAGCCCUGGCAAACCUUUACUGUGAAAUAUAUUCCCCAAGGCUCAUGCAUUCAGCAGUGUGCUUUCCUUGCAAGUAUGAGGACCUGAGUUCAAUUCCCAGAGCCCAUCUGAAACACCAGGUAUGGUGGUACUUACAUGUAAUCUCCGAACUGGGGAGGUGGAGACAGGCAGAUCACGGGGGAGCACUGGCUAGCCAGGAUAUAUUACUUCACGAGUUCCAGGCCAGUAAGAGACCCUGCUCAAAAAAAAAUCAAUAAAAACAUCAAUCAAACACAAAUAACGAGGUAGGCAGUGCAGUCAAAAGUUAUCCUUUGCACACCCACAGAUGCAUGGACCUGCAUACACAUAAACACACACACACACAAGAAAUAUAAUUCCUUUAUUACUAGCAGAAGGUGGUUAAUGGCUUUACGCUGAAGAAACCAAGUGCAGGCCUUAGACAGUUGCUUCAGAUUUGAAGGGAAUGCUGACAAAGGAAGGCAUUAGCUUCAGGGCUGGGUUUCCGGGUCUGUGGCCUAUGUGUUAGACUGGGCUCUGCACUUGUCAUGACCUCAUGCAUAGUGCUAUACUGCCUCCAUCUUGACAUUCUUCAUCAUCUUCCAUAGAGGUUGCACAUGUUCCUUCUUCACAGAGUCUCCUACAUUUUGAAGCCAAUCCUACUCUUUCAGAUUACAGAUUCCUAUGUGUCUCUAGUGCCGCUGCCUUGCUCUGUAUCUAGGAUGGGCCCACGUGCUCCUUUGACCCCCCCUUUUUUGCCUCUAGUGACCUGGCCACAGCCUCCAGUGUUGCCCAGCUGCAGAAACAUCCUGUUCUUGCUGGUGCCAUUCAACAAGUAGUGGUGAUUUGCAAAAGGAUGACUUAGGAAAGGCAAAGAAAACACAUUUGAAAGCACAAGAGGAAAAAAAUGGGCUUCUUAAACACAGUGAAGACUAACACACACUGAAUUGGUCGCCACAGCUUUAGAGGUUACAGGUGUUGGUGUCCUUACUCACGUCCAGUCUACUUGGGAGGAGUGUGGGACUGAAGCUCUUUAGAGCUGGUGGCACCAGUGCCACCACUGGGGGAUUCUUCAUCCUUUUCACCUUUUGAUUUUCUUGUCCUAUUGAAGAGCAGCUUUGCUCGCUUAGGGCUGAACCACACUUGUGCAUCACAUACAACACAUGUGUAGGCACAUGUACAAACACACACACACAAACAUACAUGAAUGCACUCUCUGUCUCUAUCUCUCUCUGUCUCUAUCUCUCUCUCUGUCUCUCUCUGUCUCUCUGUCUCUGUCUCUGUCUCUCUGUCUCUCUCUCUCUCACACACACACACACAGACACACACACACACACACACACACACACACACACACAGCCCACUCUGGAAAAUCCUGGUCUUUUGAUGUCUGUGAGAAAGGAGCUUCUCUAUGUGACUUCCAGGGGUUCUUCUGGGAGGUUCUUGGGCUGCCUCACCAGGCUUUGCAAUUCAGUUCGUCAGCUUCCAAAGGUUUCUGGGACACCGCACCUUUCACCCAUUCUCUGAUAUUGAUUGUUACAGGCUCAGCCUUUCCCCUCUAGUCAAACCUUCAGUCUAGCGUCAUUACCCUUGAGGCUAGUGGCAUAAGGCAGUCAUUACUUGUCCCCAGGGUUUGUAAAAUGCACACAUAAAGCUCCCUUCCUUUCUGCUGUGUUAUACUUUUCCUGUCUAAGGGUGACCUGCAAUUCUCAGCUUCCCUGUGCAUGGACAUUGACUAAUGAGAGAGGAAACCUUUCCUAGCAUCUGGAUCCCCAUCUCUGAUUCUUUCUGAUAUGGGCUCUUCCUUCCCAUGGGAGGUAAUGAUACCUUACAGUAAGUAAUUCAUGGUGGCAUUUGACUUUGUAUCUCAAGUAGAAAGUAUAAACCUGAAUCUUACCCACUGUCAGGGAAACCACCAGGAAAAUACCACUUGAGUGUCUCUACCGUAAUGUACAAAUUACAGCCUGGUCUAUAUAAUCUGUGAAAUCAACAGAAAUAAUAAUCCCCAGAUUUCACCCUAAUAGGUUCAACUAAAGGUUUAAGAUGAAACUUCGUCUUCAAAUGGUAAACACUCAAUUGCCAUAUGAUGCCAGGAAUGCUGGCAUAUACCUAUGAUCCCAGCACUCAGAAGGUAAGGAUACAAGUGUGAAGGCAUGCUUAAUUACAUACUGAUUUCAAAGGGCCAGUGUGAGUUAUAUAGUGAAACUCUGUCUCAAUAAAUGAAGAGCUGGUGAUAUAGCUCUUUGUAGUAGCAAGGCCCUGGGUUCCAUUUUCAUUGUCACAAAAAAAAGGAUUCAGUAUUAAACCACGCUACAGCGUAGAAGAACCUUGAAGAUACUGUACAAUGUGAAAAAAAGUUAACGACAAAGACCCCAUAUUGUAUGGUUCUAUUUAAAUUAAACGCUCGGAGUAGAUAAGGCCAGAGACAAUAUGUGUGACAGUGGUUGCCAGGAGCUAAGGGUUGAGAAGGAUGGGGAAUGACCUUGUAGUAGAUACAGGGCUCACGUUGGGAGCAAUAAAAAUGGUUUAGAACUAGGCAGAGGUGGUGAUUAUCCAGCAUUGAAAGUCUACUUCGCAACAGCUGUGUACUUCAAAAUGGUUUCCUGUUACAUAAUGCCACAUACAAAAAUGCUAUGCACAAAAACUUUACAUACAAUUUUCCAAAGUAACAAAAAGAGUACCAAAAAGCUGGCAACCCAGAAAGGACCUUCAGGAUAAAGGUUUCUUUGGCCGCCACUUCCACACAGAGAAACGACCAUUGGGCAUGGAGCUGGUAAAGAUCAUUAUGCCGCUCCCACUGGGCACUGGAUGGAAAUCAGUUGCAUGGAAGAGAUUUGGACUGUGUAGCGAGGGGAAAUUGAAGAAAACACACUGGAUUCUCGCUCUCGUGCACAAAAAGGCAGAAACUGCCAGGAAAAUGAGAGCUAGCCCAUGGAAAUGGCUAGGAAGCACUUUGUGUCCAGAGAGAAGUGAUGCUUGUAAAUCAUUAUUACAUUUAGUCUGUGUGUGUGCACCCAAGCACACCAGUGCAUCUGUGGAGAUUCAGUUAUCUCCUUCCGUCACUUGGGUCUCAGGCUUGUCGGCCAUCUUGCUCCUCUGUCGCUUGGUUUCUUUCACCUUCAAUGUCUGCAUUUUUUUUUAAGUCUGGCUUCUGUUGGUUUGUUAUUUGUUUGCAACAUAAACCAUGAUUGCUAAAAAAAAAUAACAUUGAUCACUUGAUGAAGGUGUUUGUUAUAUGCCAAAUCCCUCACCAGAAAGCUAAAUGAUAAAUAAUUUGAGAUAUGCCUUUUUAAUUUUAUUUUUGUAAAGAUUUAUCUAUUUUUAUAUUAUGAAUUUGGGUGUUUUGCCUAUUUUAUGUAUUGUAUCCAGUGGGUGCCUGGUGCCUGAAGAGGUCCAAACAGGGCAUCAGAUCCCCUGGAACUGGAGUUAGAGAUGAUAGUGGGCCACCAUGUAUUUGCUGGAAACUGACUCUGGCCCCCUGCAAGAGCAACAAAUGGAUCAUUUUAACCCAUGAUUCAUCUCUCUAGCCCCAAGAUGUGCACUUUUAAUGUCUCUAUUUCCCAUAUGAUGCUUUUUACUUCCAGCAGGAUUCGUUAUAACCUUCACAAUGGUGAUGCAUUCUCCCCCAAUCCCAGCAAGAUGGUUUGUGGGAGUGAAGGCACCUCCAUGAUAGCACCUUAUGAGGGGACUCAGCUACAAUCGGACAGCACACCAGUAUUCCCGGCGAGGGAAAAUCUUCAAAGACUUUUUAUUUCCAGAAGAAUGUGACUGUCAUUGCCAUGUGAAAGACAUAACCUGUAAGUCAUGGAUGAUACCCCAGACAGGUUCCAUCUUCUCCCAGACAAAGAUACAAGGCAGCAGUAUGUAUGAUUAUGUUCCUUCCUCCCCAUCCACUAUAUCCAGAGCAGAGGCCGAAGCCAUUUUCACUGGCUCCAGUGUGUGCCCAUGUGUCCUCUUCCCCAUCUCUACUCCACCAGCUUCCUUCAUCCACCCCUGGGAAGUUCUCCUAGGGGCCCUUGCUAUGACCAGCUGUGAUCCACACUGCCCCCUAGGGCUACCUCCCUGACUUGUGUCUUGGCCACCCCUUGCUUCGGAACUUAGCAGUACUUCUUGCCCCAAAAAGCAGGACAAAGAAGGACUUCUGGGGCCACUGGUUGCAGCCAGUACUAUGUGAUAGCACUUCCACUUCCUCUAAGUUAGCAGCACUUUAGCCAGGAGGGGUUAGCGUUCCUUCCUCCUAAUUCCUCCACAGGUCUCCAUUUCCACAGUGCUCUCUAGUCUAGCGCUGCCUUACCCUACUUUCAACUUCCCCAACGUUUACCAAGCAGCCAAAGGGUAUUCCUGUAAAAGUCUGGAGCCAAACUGCUAAAAUACAUAUGCUCAUUCUGCCCAGGAGUGGCUUCCUAAGUGUGUCACUUACAUAGUGGCUCAGCACCCAAGCUUAGGAGGGCUCUGGGCUUGGUAAAAUAUUAAACUGCCACUAUUCUGAUAUUCUUUUUUUUAAAAAAAAAAUGAUAGUAUGUAUUAGUUGUACUAUUUUCAGGAAAUCCAAGGUAUAUAAAUAUUCAUAAACUAAAUCCAUACCCUAUACUAUAUAUAUAAAAAAUAAAUUCAAGCAGUGAACAUCAAGGAAGAGGCAGCAGACAGACUGUACAAAGAUGCGGAGGGGCGCUGUGACACACGGUCCUCUGGACUUGACGACCAGUGCGGUCAUAAACCUGCACAGCUGUGGUUAGCUGCACGGUCCUGCCACAGGGGGGGCAGACCAUCUCCAGGCUCCACUUCGUACGGAGAAACUAUUGACAGUAGAUAGUUGCUAGGGGAUGAAGACUCAUUCCUUUUUAGGAUGUGGCUACAAGCAGAUUUCCAGUGCUCUAGCGGAGUCCCCGCACUCAUACAGAUGGGCAGCACCAACUGCACUUGGGUCUUGAUUUAUAAUUCGGGCAGGCUUCGGGCCUCCAGUUGGUGGAAUUUAUAGGUAGGAGCCACCACCUGGCUCCAGGAAGCAGCCGCUCUGUGAGUUGAUCGUGUCCCACAGCUGUCACAUGACAGAAACGGCGACGUGAUUCACUUUCACUUCCCAUGAGAAUGUGAACUUUCCCAGUGGCCCUGCCCCUUCUUAGCACGUGGGCACAUCUGCUGGCCAUGGAUUAUGUGGCAGGACUCAAAAAGCCUGCUCCCACAUCUAUUGUUCCUUUCCCAAACGUCUUAGUAGUAAGCCGAGCCCAAGGCUUCUCGCACUUGAUAAACGAGAAGAGUAAGCAAGCAACUGGUCUAAGGGCCCGAAUCCACUUAGGAGCUUGACUGAAACCAAGAUGCCUGCAGCAGUCUGUGCUUCCUGGGACUCAUCCAUCACCUGUUUCCUUACCAAAGAAAAUGCUAACAGGCACAGCUGGUCUCUGAGGGGAGGGCUGCUUUUGUCACCCAGCUGUGGUUUCCGCUUCAGAUCCCAGGAUGCCUUGCUGUAGGGCUGGGUAGCCCCUACGCUACCAAAAAAGAAAAAAGAAAAAAAAAGAAAAAAAAGCUGCUUUACAUUGCUCUGCGGCGUUUAGGGGUUGGCACCCCAUUCCUGGUGGCGAGGCAUUGCCUUGCUGUUGCUAAGGGCAGCUUUCAAUCACCCCUUCAUUUAUUCCCACAGGCAUACAUUCCAAAUCUAGUAAUUUUGCUGUGAUCUCGAGAAGAAGGAAGUACGGGGGUGGAGAGAGAUGAAAAAAAAAAAGUGACAGAGGUAUUCAUUUUAUCCUUAGGGAUUAGGGGAAAGGCGGAAAGCUUUUCAGAGAGUCACAAUCAUAGGGGAAGUGCUAAGAGCCAGGUGUGGGAGCCAAGGAAGAGAGCCAAAGCCUGGAUAGGGCAAGAAAGAGACUGGCCCUCCAGGAGAGGGCAAGGGAAACUGGCAAGCGCUACCAAACAGGGCUUCUCCUCACCCCACUAUUUCUCCGCAGGUUUAGCCCUCCAUUAGGAAAAACCAUCCGGGAACGUUUUAUUUUCCUUGAUAGAUAGCAGAGGGGAGCAAAGAAGCUCACCCCGCUUUUGAGCGGGUGGCCACCCUGGUGUGGUCAGCUCGGUGUACCCUCAACUAGCUUUGGGCUUUCUACCACACCCGCACAACCAUUCCCUCCUCUUGGAACGCUGACCACCUACCUCUGAAGGCUCUAGCUAGUUUAACUACCUAGGGAAACCCUGGGACGCAGCAGCGAAUUCAGCUGCAGCCACUAGACUAUCGAGGUGGAGGGGAAAUGGCACUAUCAGUGCGGCCAGGGGAAAUGGCACAUCACCAGGCUCGCCUGGGGCACUGCUGACCGGUCCGAAAGCAAGUGUGAAGCACCAGCUGCGCGUGGAAACCAUGAAUUCUUCCCCCUCAGCUGUGGAGGUUUAAAGGGAUUAGGUGUGAACAAUGGCCAGGUCCUGCAAAAGUUAAAAAAAAAAAAAAGCCACAGGACUUCCUCUUAAAGACCUGCAGGUCUUUGAAGACAAUCAGACACAAAUGCUCUUUCAGAAAGGGACAAAGCAAAUAUCAAGCUGACCUUUUGCGAACAAUGUAAAUCGUGACAGUUUGGGGCAGCGGUGGAGGUGGGGUGGACACAAAAAGACUUUGCUUGCUACUGUGUGGCAAUCAGGCUUCUAUUCUUCUCGCCCUUGCCUAAGGCUGCCUUGUUAAGGUUUGCCGUUUAUUUUAAACGUGCCCAAGGUGGAAGGAAUCUAAAAUGGUUAGUGGGUGAGGGGAUUAAAUGAACCCAGGAGUCAAGACAGAAUGCCUGGAACCUCUCGGGUUUCUCAGAACCAGCUCAGGACCUGCCCGCCAGGACCUGGGGGGCAGAACCGGUAUCAAGAGAGUGGCUUAAAACUACUCCGGGAUUGAGUCCCAAGAAGCCAAGGUGAGAUCCAUUACUGGCCAGUGAAUUUUUGCCUAACCCUUGCUUUGCACUUGCAGUUCUUAGUAGGCCUUCUGGGUGUGCUGGGACAAAGCUAUGUGUGUACUGUGUUCGGUUACCGUGGAGGCCCUGGCCUCCCAGAGAGGCCCCGGGGUCCAGGUGGGUGUUGCAGAGAACAAAGGUUCCCCACACCUAGAAAACCAGUUCUCCCAGCCUUCCAGCCACAGCAAGUGACAUCACCAGGAGCCAAUCGAAAAUUCGCACUUGAGUUUACUUGUUAAGGCCUGAAUUGAUUCCACGUAGACUGCACAGCUGACCGUGUAGAGCCACCUUCCCAACCAGCGCUCUGUUUAGGAGCGAGCUGAUUCACGGGGAAUUUGGCUUUCACGCAGAUUUCUUAGGCAGGUGAGGGGCCAGGUUUCAGAUUCCACACUGAAGAUACCACACCCUGAGCUCCUGGCUAGCCCAAAGCCGGAGCGCCAGACGGACCUGUACUGCCAUCUUCUGGUAGUGCUUGGUAUUGAUUAGUGAGAGUGGCAAGAUCUCUCUGGGAAAUAAAGCCUGAAUACCCUAGGUUGUUGCUCCAUUUUACCAGUCUCCGUAGACAAAAAGACCCCUUCCAAUAUAUCAAAUAAGGUAACCAUGAAAGGAAGACACUCUGAUCUGAUGGUAGUGUACCUUGAUUUUCGUCUAUAUUUAUCUGAAUCUGUUUGUUUGGAGACACUAGUCUCCUGUAGCUCAGGUUGGCUUCUACCUCACUCUGAAGGUGACCUUGAGCUUCCCACCCUCCUGCUUCCACCUCCCAAGUGCUAGGGUGACUGGCCAGUACCAGCACAUCUAGUCUACGUGAUGCUGGGGAUAGAACGUUUGUGCAUAGCCUUUGUGCAUUCUAGGAAGGCCUUUACCGACUGACCCCAGCCCCCCCUUCAGUUUUGUAAAGCCCUAUCUAUCGUCCAUGGGAAGAGGCAGGUAUGUGAUGAACUUGAGGAUGCCCUUGACGGAGUCCUGAGUCUGAGAGGUUUCUUGUCCCAUACUUUUCACUGUAGAUGUGGUCUUUACAAAGGCCUUCGUGAUGUUUUGGAGAGUUUUCAGUUUAUGUAUGGUAACCUGUGAGUACAAACGGGCUUUGCAGACUGGAUGUAAAAACAGCAGCCCCUUAGGUCGAUCCAGACUAGUAGACAUUGCAUCUGCAGAAGCAUCCGCAUGUCAUGCCCAAUGACUUCUCCUUCUCUCUCCUAGUCAAUGUAGCCACGUCAGUGGAAAGAGACCAUGCAUAGCCCUCUCUUGUAGUUUCAAAACAUGUUUUAAGGCAAAAGGAGGCAACUCUCGUAACAUAUAGCCAUCAGAUACAGACUUCCAUGCUAAGGAGUUAGUAUAUGUUUUUCUUUUAUAUAUUGCACACAAGGGAGGGCCUUACUGGCCAUGCAGCAGCAAGGUUGAAAUGCUGUGGAACACCUUAAAAUGCAUAGGACCGUUCUCUCCAAUCUUCAAGAAAGAAGAAUGCCAUCCAAGAGGUCAACAGUGCCAUGGUAACAGAGUUACCCUAAAAUAGCUCACCAACACCUCAAAGCCAACAUGUCAAUGCUUAUGACUCUGGACUUGUCGACUUCUACAACUGACGAUGUCCUCUGGUUCCCACACUCAUAGUCACACAUUCGUGAACAUUCAAGUGCACACACAACCAAAACAUUUGUGUAGAAAUAGACUAUUGCUACCCCAUGCUCUUAUUUUGUUCUUUACAUUUAUUAUUACUAUUGUUAUUUAGUUUUAUGCAUAUAGGUUUUGCCUGCAUGUAUGUCUGUGGACACCUUAUGUGCCUGGUGCCCACAGAGCCCAGAAAAGGGCAUCAGAUCCACUGGAACUGAAAUUACAUAUAUCUGAAAGUUGCCAUAUGCAUACUGGUAAUUGAACCCUUGGCCUCUUCAAGAGCAGCAAGUACUCUUUUUUUUUUUUUGUUUUUUUUUGUUUUUUUUUUUUUUUUGUUUUUCGAGACAGUUUGGAGCCUGUCCUGGAACUAGCUCUUUUAGACCAGGCUGGUCUCGAACUCACAGAGAUCCGCCUACCUCUGCCUCCCGAGUGCUGGGAUUAAAGGCAUACGCCACCACCGCCCGGCUAGCAAGUACUCUUAACCACUGAGCUAUCUCUCCAGCUUCUUGUAUUUAAUUCUUUAAAAUAUUAUUCCUUCUGUUUAUACUUACCAGGCAGUUAACGAUGGCCAUCUUCAUCUGCAGGUAGACACUUAUCCAUAUGAAUAUUUGCUACAUUCAUAUACAUGUUUCACGUUAUUUUUCUAAUAUAAAUAACAUCUCCAGAACAUCCAACUUUAGUUGGAUCCGAUUUACUGUUUCAAAGGGGGAAAUUCUUUCAAGAUCAGAAACAAAUUGCUUCAGCUAUUCCCACAGAAUUCAACGACUUUGAAAGUACAGUAUUCCCUAGUAAGUCACCUGAUACCUUCUUCAGUUCCAGCAAAGGUUAGUCUAGUCCAUGGCAGGGAGUAUUAGGAUUUUCUUUCAGUCUGUGUUAAGUGUUGGAUUUAUCCAAUCUAUGACUAAUGGCGUUAAUGUUAUUUGAUAUGAAUGCUAGCCUCUUCACCCUGUACCAAAGAAGAAUCUAUCAUGGUUACUCUUUUAUUAUUCUUGAUUUCUGAAGUAUGGUCCACAUUACUGUCACCUGCCUCUUUGGAAUAAU
Alexandromys fortis (reed vole) is the source of this 13884-nucleotide long non-coding RNA. RefSeq lists it as uncharacterized. Lineage: Eukaryota; Metazoa; Chordata; Mammalia; Rodentia; Cricetidae. The transcript is spliced from 3 exons. The record is from RefSeq and is a predicted model, not a curated record.